Molecule: ribosomal RNA, 406 nt
Filed under: uncultured bacterium
Lineage: Bacteria
Description: partial 16S ribosomal RNA
Rfam family: Bacterial small subunit ribosomal RNA
Source: RNAcentral
AUUGAACGCUGGCGGCAGGCCUAACACAUGCAAGUCGAACGAGUGGCGUACGGGUGAGUAAUGUCUGGGAAACUGCCUGAUGGAGGGGGAUAACUACUGGAAACGGUAGCUAAUACCGCAUACCAUCGGAUGUGCCCAGAUGGGAUUAGCUAGUAGGUGGGGUAAAGGCUCACCUAGGCGACGAUCCCUAGCUUGUCUGAGAGGAUGACCAGCCACACUGGAACUGAGACCCGGUCCAGAAUCCUACGGGAUGCAGCAGUGGGGAAUAUUGAACAAUGGGCGGAAGCCUGAUGCAGCCAUGCCGCGUGUAUGAAGAAGGCCUUCGGGUUGUAAAGUACUUUCAGCGGGGAGGCGUUACCCGAAGAAGAAGCACCGGCUAACUCCGUGCCAGCCGCCGCGGUAAUUG